ACAUUAUCUGCACUCCCAGUUGUUGUUGGGUUAACUGCCCCAACAUUAUCUGCACUCUCAGUUGCUGUUGGGUUAACUGUCCCGACAUUAUCUACACUCUCAGUUGCUGUUGGGUCAACUGUCCCGACAUUAUCUACACUCUCAGUUGCUGUUGGGUCAACUGUCCCGACAUUAUCUACACUCUCAGUUGCUGUUGGGUUAACUGUCCCGACAUUAUCUACACUCUCAGUUGCUGUUGGGUUAACUGUCCCGACAUUAUCUACACUCUCAGUUACUGUUGGGUUAACUGUCCUGACAUUAUCUGCACUCUCAGCCAACUUGCUAUUUUGACCAGAACUUUGUACUACAUCUUGCGUUUGAACUUUGAAAAUAGAAUCAUGCAUACCAGUUUCAGGAAAACCCAGUCCCUGCUGAUUGACAUUUGGUCUUUCCAAUGACAUGU
Molecule: long non-coding RNA, 442 nt
Filed under: Vitis vinifera (wine grape)
Lineage: Eukaryota; Viridiplantae; Streptophyta; Magnoliopsida; Vitales; Vitaceae
Description: long non-coding RNA (VVIN_LNC005676)
Source: RNAcentral